GAUGAACGCUGGCGGCGUGCCUAAUACAUGCAAGUCGAACGCUUCACUUCGGUGAAGAGUGGCGAACGGGUGAGUAAUACAUAAGUAACCUGGCAUCUACAGGGGGAUAACUGAUGGAAACGUCAGCUAAGACCGCAUAGGUGUAGAGAUCGCAUGAACUCUAUAUGAAAAGUGCUACGGGCAUGGUAGAUGAUGGACUUAUGGCGCAUUAGCUUGUUGGUAGGGUAACGGCCUACCAAGGCGACGAUGCGUAGCCGACCUGAGAGGGUGACCGGCCACACGGGGACUGAAACACGGCCCAGACUCCAACGGGAGGCAGCGGUAGGGAAUUUUCGGCAAAGGGGGAAACCCUGACCGAGCAACGCGGCGUGAAGGAAGAAGUAAUUCGUUAUGUAAACUUCUGUCAUAGAGGAAGAACGGUGGAUAUAGGGAAUGCUAUCCAAGUGACGGUAAUCUAUAAGAAAGCCACGGCUAACUACGUG
This 482-nucleotide ribosomal RNA is filed under the name uncultured bacterium. Its description in RNAcentral is "partial 16S ribosomal RNA". It matches the Rfam family "Bacterial small subunit ribosomal RNA", at positions 28 to 507 of the family's 1533-position model. The record is from RNAcentral.